RNAcentral lists this ribosomal RNA (793 nucleotides) under uncultured archaeon. RNAcentral describes it as "bacterial SSU rRNA". It matches the Rfam family "Archaeal small subunit ribosomal RNA", at positions 85 to 879 of the family's 1478-position model. The record is from RNAcentral.
ACGGCUCAGUAACACGUAGUCAACCUAACCUAUGGACGGGAAUAACCUCGGGAAACUGAGAAUAAUGCCCGAUAGAACAUUAUGCCUGGAAUGGUUUAUGUUCCAAAUGAUUUAUCGCCGUAGGAUGGGACUGCGGCCUAUCAGUUUGUUGGUGAGGUAAUGGCCCACCAAGACUAUUACAGGUACGGGCUCUGAGAGGAGUAGCCCGGAGAUGGGUACUGAGACACGGACCCAGGCCCUAUGGGGCGCAGCAGGCGAGAAAACUUUGCAAUGUGCGAAAGCACGACAAGGUUAAUCCGAGUGGUUUCUGCUAAAGAAACCUUUUGUCAGUCCUAGAAACACUGAUGAAUAAGGGGUGGGCAAGUUCUGGUGUCAGCCGCCGCGGUAAAACCAGCACCUCAAGUGGUCAGGAUGAUUAUUGGGCCUAAAGCAUCCGUAGCCGGCUCUGUAAGUUUUCGGUUAAAUCUGUACGCUCAACGUACAGGCUGCCGGGAAUACUGCAGAGCUAGGGAGUGGGAGAGGUAGACGGUACUCGGUAGGAAGGGGUAAAAUCCUUUGAUCUAUUGAUGACCACCUGUGGCGAAGGCGGUCUACCAGAACACGUCCGACGGUGAGGGAUGAAAGCUGGGGGAGCAAACCGGAUUAGAUACCCGGGUAGUCCCAGCUGUAAACUAUGCAAACUCAGUGAUGCAUUGGCUUGUGGCCAAUGCAGUGCUGCAGGGAAGCCGUUAAGUUUGCCGCCUGGGAAGUACGUACGCAAGUAUGAAACUUAAAGGAAUUGGCGGGGGAGCAC